RNAcentral lists this long non-coding RNA (278 nucleotides) under Brassica rapa (field mustard). RNAcentral's name for it is "long non-coding RNA (BRAP_LNC008084)". The record is from RNAcentral. Lineage: Eukaryota; Viridiplantae; Streptophyta; Magnoliopsida; Brassicales; Brassicaceae.
AAAGACCCGAUGGUCGGAGAAAACGGAUGUGGCGCGGCUCCAGGCUCGGACGAGGCAGCGGGUGAAGAGGGGGCGUGAGUUCUGAGGAUGACUUGGGUUAGAUCUCUUUCGAGAGAUUUUUUUUUACGUUUUUAUGUUUCGGCCUUGAAUGGCCUUGUUUGUAUUUCGGGACUGGCUGUGUGUGGCUUCGAAUCCCUGCCGCUCCGCGGCUUUCUUUUUAUGGUACGAUAAUCGGAUGGCGUUUUUUUAUGAGUUUGUGAAUAGUUGGGAGGAAGGUG